GAUGAAGAACGUAGCGAGAUGCGAUAAGUAAUGUGAAUUGCAGAAUUCAGUGAAUCAUCGAAUCUUUGAACGCACAUUGCGCCCGCCAGUAUUCUGGCGGGCAUGCCUGUUCGAGCGUCAUUACAACCCUCAGGCCCCCGGGCCUGGCGUUGGGGAUCGGCGGAAGCCCCCUGUGGGCACACGCCGUCCCUCAAAUACAGUGGCGGUCCCGCCGCAGCUUCCAUUGCGUAGUAGCUAACACCUCGCAACUGGAGAGCGGCGCGGCCAUGCCGUAAAACACCCAACUUCUGAAUGUUGACCUCGAAUCAGGUAGGAAUACCCGCUGAACUUAAGCAUAUCAAUACGCGGAGGA
RNAcentral lists this unclassified non-coding RNA (352 nucleotides) under soil metagenome. RNAcentral describes it as "partial contains 5.8S ribosomal RNA, internal transcribed spacer 2, and large subunit ribosomal RNA". The stretch from base 1 to 120 matches the Rfam family "5.8S ribosomal RNA", at positions 35 to 154 of the family's 154-position model. The record is from RNAcentral.